CUUUGUGGACUGCCCUGCAAAGAUCCAUUGUACUGUAGCUACUAUAUUUUGUUGCUCACUUUACUGUUUGCUCUAGUGGUUGGUGAGCCAUGGAAAACUUUGGUGAGACUUUGGGAAAUGUUCAAGUGUUCUAGGCAGCAAACUCCAGACAACGCAAGAAAGUGGCUUGCAAUAGCAGGAGAAAGAGAUCACUGGAGCCUUUUGGAUCUGAGUCAGUGGAAUCAGCUACUGUUUCUGUGUGGACCACUCUAUACUACCAGAGAUGAGGAAAGACUUGCUACGUUGGCAUAUAGCAGCGGAGGGAUACAGUCAGGAGGUGACAGGGUUAACAUCACAGGGCUGGUGGUAGGUAUCCUCUUUGGCACUGCGGCCAUAGCCCUGGUGGUCCUAGGCAGCUGGUUUGUCCUCAAGAAGUUCUACUGGACAGGCCCCAUUCCUUUGACUGACAGGUGUCUUGGCCAAUGACCAUCUACCAACCAACCUGUCCACCUCCGAGCUGCCCAAUCUGACAAGUCGUUACAGAACUACCCACCAACAAUGGACCAAGCAGCGGAGGAGGGAACAACAGGUGGAAUAUCGUGAGUCAUGGACUUGGGAGGAGAUUCUGGCUGGAGAGGGCCCAUGGAGGAAGUCUGGGGAGGACCGGAAUCGCUACUGGGGAACACGGCUGGCGAGGAAGCCGGAGAGGCAACCCCAAUAAUUUUCUUUGGGGGGCACACGGGUAGGUUGGCUGGGCGAGGAUUAAGUCCCAAGCCAAAUCCCCAUGUUUUUUCCAAACAACCAUUGACUGGACAGGUCCCGUGCUUUGGGGUGAUGGGUGCUGUGACGAGGCCGGGUAUUUUCAGGCCGGUAUGCGCAGUACCAGCGCCCCGCAUGUGCCAGAGGAAAGUGGGCAUCCAGCCAGUAGGGGUGAUGUCAGUCCUGCGCUCGAGACCGCCAGUGCGCCUCUACGGUCCAGUGUUUCCCGUUACACGCACUAGCCUUGAGGUGCGUGUCUCCAGGCUGGCACGUCCAGUACCAACACCACGCAUCAGGCUUCCAGUGCAUCAGCCCAGUCCGACUCAGCCUGUUCCCGCUCCUCGCACUAGCCCGGAGGUGCGUGUCCCCAAACUGGCACUUCCAGUACCAGCACCACGCAUCAGGCUUCCAAUGCGUCAGACCAGGUCAGAGUGUCCGGCAACAGUGCCUCGUCCAGAGUGUCCGGCAACAGUGCCUCGUCCAGAGUGUCCGGCAACAGUGCCUCGUCCAGAGUGUCCGGCGACAGUGCCUCGUCCAGAGUGUCCGGCAACAGGUGAGACGGCGUACUGUCCGGAACCAGGGGAGACGGCCCGCGACCCGGAACCAGGGGAGACGGCCCGCGACCCGGAACCGAGUGAGUCUGCCUGCGGUCCGGAUCAGAAUGAAGUUUACUAUAACUUUGAACUAUGUGAGUCUGCCUACAGCUCGGAACUAAAUGAGUCUGCCUACGGCCCGGAACCAAGUGAAUCUGCCUACGGCCCGGAGUCAAGAAAGCCUGCCUACAGUCUGGAGGACAGUAGGCCAGAACCUAAGCCACCUCCAGUAUAGGUGGGUUGGGGAGGGGGGGGGGUGUAGCACAGGUACCGUCGUUGACGGCAGCCACCCCCCCUUCCCUCCCUUUAGUUAGGGGUUUAUUUUUUUAUUUUUUUUGAGGUGCAUCCGGGGUCUGCACCUUUAGGGGGGGGGUAGUGACACAGCCACACC
This 1722-nucleotide long non-coding RNA is filed under the name Salmo salar (Atlantic salmon). Its description in RNAcentral is "lncRNA (ENSSSAG00000083928.1)". Lineage: Eukaryota; Metazoa; Chordata; Actinopteri; Salmoniformes; Salmonidae. The record is from RNAcentral.